AAUGGGCGCAAGCCUGAUCCAGCCAUGCCGCGUGAGUGAUGAAGGCCUUAGGGUCGUAAAGCUCUUUCGCCAGGGAUGAUAAUGACAGUACCUGGUAAAGAAACCCCGGCUAACUCCGUGCCAGCAGCCGCGGUAAUACGGAGGGGGUUAGCGUUGUUCGGAAUUACUGGGCGUAAAGCGCACGUAGGCGGUCUAUUAAGUCAGAGGUGAAAUCCCGGGGCUCAACCCCGGAACUGCCUCCAAUACUGGUAGUCUAGAGUUCGAGAGAGGUGAGUGGAAUUCCGAGUGUAGAGGUGAAAUUCGUAGAUAUUCGGAGGAACACCAGUGGCGAAGGCGGCUCACUGGCUCGAUACUGACGCUGAGGUGCGAAAGUGUGGGGAGCAAACAGGAUU
RNAcentral lists this ribosomal RNA (392 nucleotides) under uncultured Gammaproteobacteria bacterium. RNAcentral's name for it is "bacterial SSU rRNA". It matches the Rfam family "Bacterial small subunit ribosomal RNA", at positions 370 to 779 of the family's 1533-position model. The record is from RNAcentral. Lineage: Bacteria; Pseudomonadati; Pseudomonadota; Gammaproteobacteria.